GACGAACGCUGGCGGCGUGCCUAAUACAUGCAAGUUGAGCGAUGAAGGUUGGUGCUUGCACCAAUUUGAAGAGCAGCGAACGGGUGAGUAACGCGUGGGGAAUCUGCCUUUGAGCGGGGGACAACAUUUGGAAACGAAUGCUAAUACCGCAUAACAACUUUAAACAUAAGUUUUAAGUUUGAAAGAUGCAAUUGCAUCACUCAAAGAUGAUCCCGCGUUGUAUUAGCUAGUUGGUGAGGUAAAGGCUCACCAAGGCGAUGAUACAUAGCCGACCUGAGAGGGUGAUCGGCCACAUUGGGACUGAGACACGGCCCAAACUCCUACGGGAGGCAGCAGUAGGGAAUCUUCGGCAAUGGACGAGAGUCUGACCGAGCAACGCCGCGUGAGUGAAGAAGGUUUUCGGAUCGUAAAACUCUGUUGGUAGAGAAGAACGUUGGUGAGAGUGGAAAGCUCAUCAAGUGACGGUAACUACCCAGAAAGGGACGGCUAACUACGUG
RNAcentral lists this ribosomal RNA (497 nucleotides) under uncultured bacterium. Its description in RNAcentral is "partial 16S ribosomal RNA". It matches the Rfam family "Bacterial small subunit ribosomal RNA", at positions 28 to 507 of the family's 1533-position model. The record is from RNAcentral.